Molecule: transfer-messenger RNA, 219 nt
Filed under: Hydrogenophaga sp.
Lineage: Bacteria; Pseudomonadati; Pseudomonadota; Betaproteobacteria; Burkholderiales; Comamonadaceae
Description: partial transfer-messenger RNA
Rfam family: transfer-messenger RNA
About the family: Bacterial tmRNA, also known as 10Sa RNA or SsrA, is named for its dual tRNA and mRNA-like properties.
Source: RNAcentral
GGGGCUGCACUGGUUUCGACGUGGGUUCGGACGCGCAGCAGGGCAUGUCGAGGUUCUGUCACCUCGUUAAACCGCAGAAAAAAAACUAACUGCAAACGACGAACGUUUCGCACUCGCCGCUUAAUUGCCGGUGAGCUUUGCAACAGCAGGCCUAUGGGCUGGGCAAGGGUUCAGACGGCGCAAGCCGCGAGAGUCCAGGCUGCAAAGAUAAUUCAAUAG